CACUAUCGUUAACUGAAUACAUAGGUUAACGAGGCGAACCGGGGGAACUGAAACAUCUAAGUACCCCGAGGAAAAGAAAUCAACCGAGAUUCCCCCAGUAGCGGCGAGCGAACGGGGAGCAGCCCAGAGUCUGAAUCAGCUUGUGUGUUAGUGGAACGGUCUGGAAAGUCCGACGGUACAGGGUGAUAGUCCCGUACACCAAAAUGCACAGGCUGUGAACUCGAAGAGUAGGGCGGGACACGUGGUAUCCUGUCUGAAUAUGGGGGGACCAUCCUCCAAGGCUAAAUACUCCUGACUGACCGAUAGUGAACCAGUACCGUGAGGGAAAGGCGAAAAGAACCCCGGCGAGGGGAGUGAAAAAGAACCUGAAACCGUGUACGUACAAGCAGUGGGAGCACCUUUAUGGUGUGACUGCGUACCUUUUGUAUAAUGGGUCAGCGACUUAUAUUCUGUAGCAAGGUUAACCGUAUAGGGGAGCCGCAGGGAAACCGAGUCUUAACUGGGCGUUAAGUUGCAGGGUAUAGACCCGAAACCCGGUGAUCUAGCCAUGGGCAGGUUGAAGGUUGGGUAACACUAACUGGAGGACCGAACCGACUAAUGUUGAAAAAUUAGCGGAUGACUUGUGGCUGGGGGUGAAAGGCCAAUCAAACCGGGAGAUAGCUGGUUCUCCCCGAAAGCUAUUUAGGUAGCGCCUCGUGAACUCAUCUUCGGGGGUAGAGCACUGUUUCGGCUAGGGGGUCAUCCCGACUUACCAACCCGAUGCAAACUACGAAUACCGAAGAAUGUUAUCACGGGAGACACACGGCGGGUGCUAACGUCCGUCGUGAAGAGGGAAACAACCCAGACCGCCAGCUAAGGUCCCAAAGUCAUGGUUAAGUGGGAAACGAUGUGGGAAGGCACAGACAGCCAGGAUGUUGGCUUAGAAGCAGCCAUCAUUUAAAGAAAGCGUAAUAGCUCACUGGUCGAGUCGGCCUGCGCGGAAGAUGUAACGGGGCUAAACCAUGCACCGAAGCUGCGGCAGCGACACUAUGUGUUGUUGGGUAGGGGAGCGUUCUGUAAGCCUGCGAAGGUGACCUGUGAGGGUUGCUGGAGGUAUCAGAAGUGCGAAUGCUGACAUAAGUAACGAUAAAGCGGGUGAAAAGCCCGCUCGCCGGAAGACCAAGGGUUCCUGUCCAACGUUAAUCGGGGCAGGGUGAGUCGACCCCUAAGGCGAGGCCGAAAGGCGUAGUCGAUGGGAAACAGGUUAAUAUUCCUGUACUUGGUGUUACUGCGAAGGGGGGACGGAGAAGGCUAUGUUAGCCGGGCGACGGUUGUCCCGGUUUAAGCAUGUAGGCUGGUUGUCCAGGCAAAUCCGGAUAAUCAAGGCUGAGGUGUGAUGACGAGGCACUACGGUGCUGAAGUAACAAAUGCCCUGCUUCCAGGAAAAGCCUCUAAGCAUCAGGUAACAUCAAAUCGUACCCCAAACCGACACAGGUGGUCAGGUAGAGAAUACCAAGGCGCUUGAGAGAACUCGGGUGAAGGAACUAGGCAAAAUGGUGCCGUAACUUCGGGAGAAGGCACGCUGGUGUGUAGGUGAAGUCCCUGCGGAUGGAGCUGAGACCAGUCGAAGAUACCAGCUGGCUGCAACUGUUUAUUAAAAACACAGCACUGUGCAAACACGAAAGUGGACGUAUACGGUGUGACGCCUGCCCGGUGCCGGAAGGUUAAUUGAUGGGGUUAUCCGUAAGGAGAAGCUCUUGAUCGAAGCCCCGGUAAACGGCGGCCGUAACUAUAACGGUCCUAAGGUAGCGAAAUUCCUUGUCGGGUAAGUUCCGACCUGCACGAAUGGCGUAAUGAUGGCCAGGCUGUCUCCACCCGAGACUCAGUGAAAUUGAACUCGCUGUGAAGAUGCAGUGUACCCGCGGCAAGACGGAAAGACCCCGUGAACCUUUACUAUAGCUUGACACUGAACAUUGAGCCUUGAUGUGUAGGAUAGGUGGGAGGCUUUGAAGCGUGGACGCCAGUCUGCGUGGAGCCAACCUUGAAAUACCACCCUUUAAUGUUUGAUGUUCUAACGUUGGCCCCUUACCGGGGUUGCGGACAGUGUCUGGUGGGUAGUUUGACUGGGGCGGUCUCCUCCCAAAGCGUAACGGAGGAGCACGAAGGUUAGCUAAUCCUGGUCGGACAUCAGGAGGUUAGUGCAAUGGCAUAAGCUAGCUUGACUGCGAGCGUGACGGCGCGAGCAGGUGCGAAAGCAGGUCAUAGUGAUCCGGUGGUUCUGAAUGGAAGGGCCAUCGCUCAACGGAUAAAAGGUACUCCGGGGAUAACAGGCUGAUACCGCCCAAGAGUUCAUAUCGACGGCGGUGUUUGGCACCUCGAUGUCGGCUCAUCACAUCCUGGGGCUGAAGUAGGUCCCAAGGGUAUGGCUGUUCGCCAUUUAAAGUGGUACGCGAGCUGGGUUUAGAACGUCGUGAGACAGUUCGGUCCCUAUCUGCCGUGGGCGCUGGAGAAUUGAGGGGGGCUGCUCCUAGUACGAGAGGACCGGAGUGGACGCAUCACUGGUGUUCGGGUUGUCAUGCCAAUGGCACUGCCCGGUAGCUAAAUGCGGAAGAGAUAAGUGCUGAAAGCAUCUAAGCACGAAACUUGCCCCGAGAUGAGUUCUCCCUGAGACUUUAAGUCUCCUGAAGGAACGUUAAAGACGAUGACGUUGAUAGGCCGGGUGUGUAAGCGCAGCGAUGCGUUGAGCUAACCGGUACUAAUGAACCGUGAGGCUUAACCUU
RNAcentral lists this ribosomal RNA (2759 nucleotides) under Klebsiella quasipneumoniae. Its description in RNAcentral is "23S ribosomal RNA". It matches the Rfam family "Bacterial large subunit ribosomal RNA". The record is from RNAcentral. Lineage: Bacteria; Pseudomonadati; Pseudomonadota; Gammaproteobacteria; Enterobacterales; Enterobacteriaceae.